RNAcentral lists this long non-coding RNA (1150 nucleotides) under Homo sapiens (human). RNAcentral describes it as "non-protein coding lnc-OXGR1-6:7". The record is from RNAcentral. Lineage: Eukaryota; Metazoa; Chordata; Mammalia; Primates; Hominidae.
AGAGCUCGCGAGCCCCUUGCCACCGAGGCCGGCGGGAUGGAGACAGGGACCGGCUGCUGGGGUUUGGGAGGGGCAGAGAUUGAGGAGCCAGUUGCUGUGCCCUGUUCUGGCAAAAGAACAAGAUGCGUUGCAAGCCAGAAUGAUGAAUUCCACUUUUCACGUCGCCUCCGUGGCAUUCUGCCUAAAUGAUGGGCAUGGAAAUGGUGCUGAGGGAUGUGGGCUGAAUCGAGAACACAGGGACUUUUGUCUUCAGGGUGAGAAAUGUUCCGGUCCUUAAGGAAACAUCGUGCAGCAGUUGCAUGGGUCUUCCAGGCGUUCCUCCCAAAACAUUAUUUUUUUUCUUUCACUAUUGAGUUUUAAAACUUAGCGUUCUGUCGCUAGCAUUGCAUCUUAGUUACACAUCCUCUCCCACCCAUAACGUCAAAUUUAGGAGACGAUACAUCCCCAAGCUUUCCUGCAUUAUUUUUUGCAGUAACUGGUUAUUCAGUUUACUUUCUUUAAACUAUGUCCUUCUCAAACUAGUCUCACCUGUUCGUUACUGUCGCACAUUUCCUGCGAAUAACACGUUUCUGUAGUUCUGUUGUUAGAGCCUGGCAUACCUCUCCCCGUUCCUCUUUCCCACAAGGUCAUCAUGCAGAGGGGAUUUUGGUCUGAGUUAAAAGCCAGGUAUUCUUUCACCAUCUUUUCUGUCGAUAGUCAAACUACUACAAAGACUACUCAAAUUUAGUAGUUUCUUAUUUCCCUAUAGCUUCGUUAUAUUAGAAUGGAUAACUUAUAUUUGCAUUACCUUGCUGUAAUGAACACACACCAAGUUUUCAUUUAAAAUUAUCAAGGACAAAUGUCCUCUGAAUUUAAAAAUGUGUAUGUAGUAAAAUAUAACUCAGCAUUUCUUGAUUACAUAUCAUUAAAAUAUGAAUGGUACUAUCUGAGCCACCAGAAUCAGCAGUGAAGGUAUUAUAUUAAUAAAAAGGACUAAGAAUCAGGACUGUUUUAAGGGAACUGGAACCGAAGAGGAUCUACUAUUUCAUCCUAGGCUAGUUAACAUGAAAUAGUGAAUUAAAAUUGAAAGAGCUUACAUGGAUGCUUCAUAUCUGAGCUACUUUGGCAGGGAUGUUUCAAGAGGAUGUAGAUGGUAAAACUGAGACACAGA